UGGGGAAUCUUGCGCAAUGGGGGGAACCCGUGACGCAGCGACGCCGCGUGCGGGAUGGGAGGCCCUUCGGGUCGUAAACCGCUUUCAGCAGGGAUGAGACAAGACGGUACCUGCAGAAGAAGCCCCGGCUAACUACGUGCC
This 141-nucleotide ribosomal RNA is filed under the name uncultured bacterium. RNAcentral describes it as "partial 16S ribosomal RNA". It matches the Rfam family "Bacterial small subunit ribosomal RNA", at positions 355 to 509 of the family's 1533-position model. The record is from RNAcentral.